UUCUUAUCCAGAGAGGUGGAGGGACUGGCCCUUUGAAACCUCGGCAGCGGGUUCUCCUUAUGAGAAUACUGUGCCAAUUCCUGCAAGCUUAAAAGCUUGGUAGAUAAGAA
Molecule: non-coding RNA, 110 nt
Filed under: Tepidibacillus decaturensis
Lineage: Bacteria; Bacillati; Bacillota; Bacilli; Caryophanales; Bacillaceae
Also listed under: 2 other names
Description: SAM riboswitch aptamer (S box leader)
Rfam family: SAM riboswitch aptamer (S box leader)
About the family: The SAM riboswitch is found upstream of a number of genes which code for proteins involved in methionine or cysteine biosynthesis in Gram-positive bacteria.
Source: Rfam by way of RNAcentral